This is a long non-coding RNA of Loxodonta africana (African savanna elephant), 4952 nucleotides long. RefSeq lists it as uncharacterized. Lineage: Eukaryota; Metazoa; Chordata; Mammalia; Proboscidea; Elephantidae. The transcript is spliced from 3 exons. The record is from RefSeq and is a predicted model, not a curated record.
CACGUCACCAUGAACUAUCAUGCUAGUUGUAGUUUUCCACGUUCGGGAACUCCUUUUCUGUUCCAUGUUUGCUCCUAGCCCUUAUCUCUCCGUGUGAUUGGAUUUUAUCAACCUGCUUUGCCCCCAUCUCUUGAGGUGAGGAUAUGUCUUCUCUUCUUUCACCUAUGCAUGUGGUGAAUGAAAUUACUAAAUCUUUAAUGUUCACUCAAAUUUGUAUGCCUACAAUCAACCGCCUUGAUCAUGGCAUGUUACGUGGUUUAUACUUUGCUGGAUUUCCUUUGCUUGGCGUCUUACGUAGGGUUUUGCAUCUCAGUUACUGAGUGUGCUUGUCCUCUAACUCUUCUUCUACUAUCCUUCUCUAGUUUGUUAUCAAUUUUAAACUAGCCUUAAGGAUCAAGUUAGGGGAAUAUCUCAUGAUUUUCUAAUCUCUGUUGACUACGUACAAGAUUAAAAUGACUGUUUCUUGCAUGUUUGCUGGAACCUGACUGGAAACGAUCUAGGUCUGCCGUUUUCUUUGUAGGGAGAUGUUGAACUACUGACCCACUUUAUUUAGUGGUUAAAGGCAUCUUCUGGUGCUAAUUUACUUAGAAAAAAUUCUGAUGCAUGUUCUAGGGUGCUCGAAUCUCAUCUUUAAAUAUUGAUUAUCAGGGCUUGUAGCCUCAUGCAAGCCAAUUCAUCAAUCCCAGAUUUCCCCAAAGUCAGGCUCUGCAACUCUUCCCGGUACCAAAUUCCCUCAUUUAAGACUUAUUUGCAAAGAAAGAGACAACAGUAUGCUAUCUACGCAGUUGUGUAUCCGCAGCCUUCUUGAGUCCAUAUUGUGAGGAUACAGUCUUCUAAUACUUUUUUUGUAAUUGUUCUUUUUCUUAUUUUUUUUUUUCCUUUUUUCACUGCCAAUACACCCCCUCCCCCAAUCUAGUAGUUUUAAAGUUGUGCGUUUCAGGUUCAAGUCUGUAAUCCAGCUGGGCUUCUGUUUGUGCUGCAUGUGUGCAUCAAAAGAACGUGCUUCUAGAAGUAGAAAGCAGGCAGUGAGACUGUUGGGUGGUUGGCGGGGUAGGGGGAGGGGAGCUGCUGCUCAGAGAGGGCGCCCGAGGGAGGCACGAGAUGCCGGGCUGCCCACCGCAAGCCCGCAGACUCCAAGGAGGUGGAACCUGCGUGCGCCAUGAGCCUUUUGAGACAGGCCCAAGCCCGCCCAGCCGGGUGCUUGCAAGUUCCACCAGGACUAGGGGAAGCCUAAGGCCAAGGAGGGCAAGGUCUAGGGUCUGGACCUGAGAACUGGUUCUGCCACUUGUGAUCGCAGAGCUUAUGCUGGAAAGGAGGGCAGGAAGCAUAUCACAAUGUGUGUCCGGAGGAUGACCCAGAAGGGCGGGAGUUGUGGUCACCCAGGGACUCUGGGUCUGCAUAUGGAGGCCCCCAGGGUGCAAUUCCAGGAGCAGAAGGCAAAGCCACAGAGGCCAAAGUGCACCUCGCCAAUGCUUCCCAGGGGCAUUGCCCCAAAUAUGGGGAGCAGUCCCUACUCUGGGCUAGGGACUUUGUUUCCUCCAUUCUCAUCACUGACUGUGAGCAGACUCUAGUCUAUGCAGACUAAUGAGGAGUUAUCAAAAUGAGCUCCAAACUCCGGAUUUGAGUUAAGGAUCAUAAACUAACAUAGAGAAAUACGACUUUAGCAAUAAGUGACUGUUUGAAGCCCAAGUUGCCUUAAAACACAGAAUUUCAGUCUUUCAGCUCCUCUGCUAACGUAAUAACUAAGAACAGAAUCUCACUGGAGCUCAAAGAUGUGGGGCACUGGGAAUACUCCUGGGUCUGUCUGCUCACGGCUGAUUGCCUGAUUCCCAGUUUUAUUAUACAGCUUAAAUACAGACCAGAAGAGGAGUUUGGGGCUUGACAUCUGACAUCUUAACACCAGUUCCUGUUUCUUGAGGAAGGAAGAGGUAAAAUAAAUCAGCGUUUACUGUGUCCUUCUCCAUCCCCGGAAGUCCUUGUGAAGACCCUCUCAGAAUGACUAGACCUCCUGCAGAAUGACUAUAUUGUGCCUCCCUUGGGCACCCCUGUCUGCGCAGCACCCUCCGCCCCCAACUGCCCAACCGCCUCUCUCCUGGCAUUCUGCUUCUAGAAGUAUGUUCUUUUGAUGCAGAGAUGCAACACACACAGAAAUCCCAGCUGGAUUACAGACUUGAACCCGAAGACCUUAUGCAGAAUGACUAUUUAUGAACCACUAAACUCAGUACUAAAGCAGCUUCAACUUGAACGUGAAUAUGAGCAACUGAUCGUCUGUUCUGCAGUCAGCCCCUGGCCUGAUUCUGACUCAUGAUAUUGACCUUCUCCAUCAUCACCUUCCACAAAUUUGAUUCCUGUCUAUUCUGCCUGGAAUGGUUCAUAAGUAUAGUCACCGUUUAUGUUCCUGAUGAAAGGUAUGUGCAAUGAAUAAGUCACUGGUCUUGCCAAAUUCUAUCAUGUAAGCUUCAUUGUCAUUUCUAUCAUCAAUACCUUAUUUUCCAACUGCUGAUUUGUCUGCUUUGUUUUCAACUUCGCAUUCUAAAUGAUUGAUCAAUGCAUCACGUUUGAUCAGUUUCAAACUGUAUAACUUGGUAAAAACCUUCAACUUGUUCAUCUUUCACAUUCAUGAUUUGUGUGUAAAUUUGAAUAAUAGUCUUAUUAACUGGUCGUCCUGGUAGGCCUGUGGAUAUUAUCCUAUUGCUUGUAGUGUUGUACUUCAGAAAAGAUCUUGAUAUGUUCUUUUUAUCGAUGAAUAUGAUGCCGUUCUCUUUAGUAUCUCAAUCCUGGCAUAGUAGAACAUAUCAUUGUCUAGUUUAAAAUGUCCAAAACCAAGCUAUUUCAGCUCACUAAUGCCUUGGAUUACUGACCUUUAUGCAUUCCAUUUCAUUUUUGAUGACUUCCAAUUUCCCUAGAUUCAUACUUCCUUCAUUCCACAUUCUGAUUAUUAAAGGAUAUUUGCAUCAGUUUCUUCUCAUUAUGAGUUAUGCCCCAUCAGGAAAUGUCAUUAAAGUGGGAUCUACUUUGAGGAGGUAGCUCUUCCCCACUCGUAUUUUGAGUGCCUUCCAACCUAAGGGGUUAUCCUCUGUCAUUCAAUCAGACAGUGUUCCAGUGCUAUUUGUAAGAUUUCACUGGCCAGUUUUUUUUAGAAAUAGAUCACUAGGUCCUUUUUCCUAGUCUGUCUAAAUCCAGAGCUCCACUCAAAGCUGUCUACCAUGGGUGAACCUGGUGGUAUUUGAAAUACCGGUGGCAUAGCUUCUAACAUCACAGCAACAUGCAAGCCACCACACUACAACAAACUGACAGAAGAGUGGUGGGAGUUAAAAAUGAGAAGAACCAAAAAGAGUGCUUCUUCCAUGUCUGCUGAUUUAGAGGAACCAUGAAAAAUUGUCAAGUGAAGAGUGAUUCAGAGAAAAACAUGGGUAGAGUGUGACCUAAUUUCCAUAAAAACAAACAAAUGAAUGUCCUUACGUGUGUCCCGGCAAAAAGCAGUGUGUAAAAGGGUACAUGUGUAUCUUUGGACACUGGACACUUCAGGGGAGCUGGUACAAUAUACUUAUGUGGGGAUGGCUCUUAUUAUAACUUCUGUAUACAAAUCUCUAUUGUUAAAUGUGUUAUAAGAAUGUAAAACCUUUUAAAGUUAAUAACAUCAUACGUGUAUGUGUGUGUAUUUGAAACUUUUUUUCUGUUUUGACUAUUUUAUAUAUGUGUUUUUUAGUUAUCUAGUGUGGCUAUAGCAGAGAUACCACAAGUGGAUGGCUUUAACAAACAGAAGCUUAUUCUCUCACAGUUUAAGAAGCAAGAAGUUUGAAGUCAGGGCACCAGCUCUAGGAGAAAGCUUUCUCUGUUUGUGGCUCUGGGGGAAGGCCCUUGUCAUCUAUCUUCCCCUGGCCUAGGAAAUUCUCAGCGUGUGGACACUGGGUCAAAAAGACGUGCUCCACUCCAGGCACUUCUUCCUUGGUGGUAUGAGGUCCCUCUCAUUUCUGCUCACUUUUCUCUUUGUAUGUCAAAAGAGACUGACUCAAGACUCACCCUAAUCCUGUAGAUUGUGUCCUCCCUCAUUAACCUAACUGCCUCUAAUCCUGCCUCAUUAACAUCACAGAGGUUGGAAUUUACAACACAUAAGUAAUCACAUCAGAUCACAAAAUGCAGGACAACCACACAAUACUGGGAAUCAGGGUCUGGCCAGGUUGACACAUAUUUUGGGGGACACUAUUCAAUCCAUAACAAUAGAGAAAACACUGUCUUCAAUGCCAGAUUCAGAGACUUUUAUCCAUCUGUGAAGGGCAAACACAGAAAUUGAACAAAAUUCAGACCAGCGAAUUAUUGCUUGCUCUUGUAACUAAUGACUUCUUCUGGUCUCUAUGCCUGGAAAUGGCCAAAAAGAAUUCUGUGAGGAUUAAUUCAGUUAUUGCUCAAACAUCUACUGCAUUUACAUGUCUACAGAUAAGGAAGAAUGCUGGACACCAUGUGUGAUUCAUUAAGUAACACGGGGACCAUUAGACUAUUGUUCUCCUUCUCUGAUAUGCCACUAUCACCUUCUCCCCUUGUUGCUCUCCUGAAAAACCCACGCUUGUAUAUUCUAGGCUUUUAUCCAGGAUUGAAUUUGCAAGAAGUUAAAGAUAUAUCUUUGAAAGAUAAAGAAGACUUUGGCCACAUUGUCUUUAGACAGUUGAACUUCCCAGCCAACCUCUGUGCAGGAUGGGAAUUCACAAUCCCUCCUACUCAGUACCUCUGAGCAGGACGGGAUUUCUGUUUCAUUGUCAGGAGAAGGCGGAAUUCAGCCUUCUUCAGAAAACUUACUUUCCUUUGCCUCAAACUGUCCCUCUCAGGAUCUGUCACGGUCACUCUGAGAAAUUCACAUGGGCAGCCUGUAUGGAAGUGCCCAUCCUAGAGGCCCUGCCCUCCCUUCCUUGCUCCACAGGGCUUCCUCUGACACUUGGGGUCACAUCUCCCAGGGA